Molecule: ribosomal RNA, 467 nt
Filed under: uncultured bacterium
Lineage: Bacteria
Description: partial 16S ribosomal RNA
Rfam family: Bacterial small subunit ribosomal RNA
Source: RNAcentral
GACGAACGCUGGCGGCGUGCUUAACACAUGCCAGUCGAACGGAAAGGCCUCUUUCGGGGGGUACUCGAGUGGCGAACGGGUGAGUAACGCGUGAGUAACCUGCCCUUGACUUUGGGAUAACUUCAGGAAACUGGGGCUAAUACCGGAUAGGAGCUCCUGCUGCAUGGUGGGGGUUGGAAAGUUUCGGCGGUUGGGGAUGGACUCGCGGCUUAUCAGCUUGUUGGUGGGGUAGUGGCUUACCAAGGCUUUGACGGGUAGCCGGCCUGAGAGGGUGACCGGCCACAUUGGGACUGAGAUACGGCCCAGACUCCUACGGGAGGCAGCAGUGGGGAAUAUUGCACAAUGGGUGGAAGCCUGAUGCAGCAACGCCGUGUGCGGGAUGACGGCCUUCGGGUUGUAAACCGCUUUCGCUCAUGACGAAGCUUUGUGUGACGGUAGUGGGUAAAGAAGCACCGGCUAACUACGUG